AGCGAACGCUGGCGGCAGGCUUAACACAUGCAAGUCGAACGGGCAUCUUCGGAUGUCAGUGGCAGACGGGUGAGUAACACGUGGGAACGUACCCUUCGGUUCGGAAUAACUCAGGGAAACUUGAGCUAAUACCGGAUACGCCCUUUUGGGGAAAGGUUUACUGCCGAAGGAUCGGCCCGCGUCUGAUUAGCUUGUUGGUGGGGUAACGGCCUACCAAGGCGACGAUCAGUAGCUGGUCUGAGAGGAUGAUCAGCCACACUGGGACUGAGACACGGCCCAGCCCCCCAGGGGGGGCAGCAGGGGGGAAUUUUGGAAAAGGGGCCAAAGCCUAACCCCCCCCUGCCGGGUGAGUGAUGAAGGCCUUAGGGUUGUAAAGCUUUUUUGUCCGGGACGAUAAUGCCGGUCCCGGAAAAAUAACCCCCGGCUACCUUCGU
Molecule: ribosomal RNA, 434 nt
Filed under: uncultured bacterium
Lineage: Bacteria
Description: partial 16S ribosomal RNA
Rfam family: Bacterial small subunit ribosomal RNA
Source: RNAcentral